This 470-nucleotide ribosomal RNA is filed under the name uncultured bacterium. RNAcentral's name for it is "partial 16S ribosomal RNA". It matches the Rfam family "Bacterial small subunit ribosomal RNA", at positions 28 to 507 of the family's 1533-position model. The record is from RNAcentral.
GGUGAACGCUGGCGGCGUGCCUAAGACAUGCAAGUCGAGCGGGGCAGGUUUAUACCUGUUCAGCGGCGGACGGGUGAGUAACGCGUGGGUGACCUACCCGGAAGAGGCGGACAACCUGGGGAAACCCAGGCUAAUCCGCCAUGUGGUCCUGUCCUGUGGGGCAGGACUAAAGGGUGGAUAGCCCGCUUCCGGAUGGGCCCGCGUCCCAUCAGCUAGUUGGUGGGGUAAAGGCCCACCAAGGCGACGACGGGUAGCCGGUCUGAGAGGAUGGCCGGCCACAGGGGCACUGAGACACGGGCCCCACUCCGACGGGAGGCAGCAGUUAGGGAUCUUCCGCAAUGGACGGAAGUCUGACGGAGCGACGCCGCUUGGAGGAGGAAGCCCUUCGGGGUGUAAACUCCUGAACUGGGGACGAAAGCCCUGUGUAGGGGGAUGACGGUACCCAGGUAAUAGCGCCGGCCAACUCCGUG